Molecule: ribosomal RNA, 430 nt
Filed under: uncultured Myxococcales bacterium
Lineage: Bacteria; Pseudomonadati; Myxococcota; Myxococcia; Myxococcales
Description: bacterial SSU rRNA
Rfam family: Bacterial small subunit ribosomal RNA
Source: RNAcentral
UGGGGAAUCUUGCGCAAUGGACGAAAGUCUGACGCAGCGACGCCGCGUGGGCGACGAAGGCCUUCGGGUUGUAAAGCCCUGUGGGGAGGGACGAACACUCACGAUUCGAACAGGGUUGUGAGCUGACGGUACCUCCUUAGCAAGCACCGGCUAACUCUGUGCCAGCAGCCGCGGUAAGACAGAGGGUGCAAACGUUGCUCGGAAUUACUGGGCGUAAAGCGCGAGUAGGCGGUUUCGCAAGUCUUGUGUGAAAGCCCGGGGCUCAACCCCGGAAGUGCACAGGAUACUACGGAGCUUGAGUACUGAAGAGGAGAGCGGAAUUCCCGGUGUAGAGGUGAAAUUCGUAGAUAUCGGGAGGAACACCAGUGGCGAAGGCGGCUCUCUGGGCAGAUACUGACGCUGAGACGCGAAAGCGUGGGUAGCAAACAGG